Gasterosteus aculeatus aculeatus (three-spined stickleback) is the source of this 173-nucleotide long non-coding RNA. RefSeq lists it as uncharacterized. The record is from RefSeq and is a predicted model, not a curated record. Lineage: Eukaryota; Metazoa; Chordata; Actinopteri; Perciformes; Gasterosteidae.
CCGAGACGAUUUACAGGCGCUACGAACCGGAGCAAGGACUAAUCUCGCCUCAUAAUGAGGCCGUGACCUCGUAUUUGCUCCGGCAAAAGUCCAGAUUUCGAUUUAGAUAAAGACGUCAUUGUGUCCGCCUGUAAUACGUAUUUUGAGACGGGACGCAGGAGCUUCAGGUUCAG